AGAUGGAGGCCGACAGGAAUGCCACCACUCCAUUCACUCAUGUUCCAUCCAGCAAAUGAAGUAUCACGAGCACACGCCAGAGGAACCAAAUUCUCUAGGGGGAGACAGCAGUGAAGAAAGCAGACAAAGUCUCUGAACUCCUGUGUCUUCUAUUCAAAUGGGGAAGAUGAACAAUGAACAGAUAACACAAAUAGAAGAAUGCGUGACCUAUCCAAUCCUUCCUCUCAUGGAAACACCAACUCAUCCAUGCCCUCUGUGCUGAAACUUCGUCUCAGCCUGCUGGAAUCACCUGCACCCCAUGGGAACUGUAGCCAUAUCUUCAGUCCUGUGAGCCCCCGUCAUGGCCUGUCACAGGAGUAAAUGAGGAGUAAGGCCCAGAAUACUCAGUACCUCUCAAUGACCCUCAGACGCUGUAGGAAGAGGAUUGGUUCACCUUUUAACCCAGAAUUUCUCACAUUGAAUGGACAGGAUGCAUUCCAAGAGGCCAGAGUAUGUGCAUCUCAGCUCCUGAUGGUUUCCACCACCACCAUUACUUUCUCUAUGUCAAGAUACCUGGGAAGCCGGUGUUUCAUUUGCAUUCUUGGAGCCCAGGAACUGUCUUCUACAAACUUUUCUUCCUAGUACCAUGUAAACGUACACAGGAAACGUUCAGAAAACAUCAGCCAAAUAGAAGAAUAAGGAAAUUCCUUCACUGACUAGAUAUUGGUGUUUGAUUCUGUCCUGCUUUGUACUCAAUGGCUAUUUCGGGGUUUCCAUUGCGGAAAACUAUUUGGAAAAUUGCAAGCCACGAGACAAGCCUCUAAGCUACUCCAGGAUCAUUGAGGACUCUCCAUGGGUUCUUAUUGUUAAAGAUCUUAACUCCUCAAGCCACUGCAUUUUUACUAUAUGCCUUGAACUACAAGAUGUGUUAAGAUUUAUAGGAUAAGGUUCUCAUCUCUAAAAACUCAUGGUCUCGAUGGAGAAGCAGUAUUUACACACAUGGAGAAGUUGAGAGUACUUGAAUGUGGAGUAUAAAGUGUGCGAUAUUGACAAGAAGCUCUACGAAAGUUCAGGAAGAGGAGGAGCAAGUGAGGAUGGAGAUGGACUUUGCAGAAUGGAGGAGAGGCAAAGAAACGGUUAGAAACAAUCUACAUAAUGAAAAGUCACUUUUGGGAGUUGUUUUAAGGCAGAGUAUCAUAUCGCAUCAAAACCGCUCCAUAAGUCCUGCCACUCCACGUGCAAUGCCAUGAACUUGAAGAAACUGCUGGUAAGAGAAAGCAAAUGCUGUGACCAGGCAACUGCUGCAAACCAAUGGGCUUUGGGGAACUGUGCUUCCCUUCAGAAAGGAAAGAGUAUUUAACGAUGAAAAGGAAGGAUUGUGUCUUACUUAUACUUACGGGCUUGUGGUUCAGCGGAGACCACACUGGACUGGACUGAACAGACAACUGAAGGGCUCUCUCUACCUUUCAGCAUCUCUGUCUGCCUUUCUGACUACCUAAAAAUUACUGCAACCUCUGAUUCUGUUUCUAAGGUGGAUUUUCCCUACUCAUGCUUCCUAGAGAUUUGGUGAGGAUUUGUUGAGUCAUGGGACAUUUCAGCUUGCCAAGGCUCCUUUGCUGGCUGACUUUCUGCUAAUUCUGCAGCUGGAUGCAGCAGAAGAGGAUGGAAGGCAGAAGGAAGGGAAAAGUGGCUUCCUUCCCGAUUACUGCCAGUCCUGUCAGUGUUGCCCAAGACUGCCAAUUUGUUCCACCAGCAGCAGUGCCUUCGGACUUCUGCCUCAGUGUUUUCCAGCAGUCCCAGUGAGAGGUGACAACGCGCUAGCAGCCCUCACUUACUCUUGGCGCCUCCUGGGCCUCGGCGUCCACUCUGGCUGCGCUUGAGGAGCCCUUCAGCCCGCGGCUGCACUGUGGGAGCCCCUCUCUGGGCUGGCUGAGGCCGGAGCCAGCUCCCUCUGCUUGUGGGGAGGUGAGGAGGGAGAGGCGCGGGCAGGAACCGGGACUGCCUGCUGCGCUCGCUGGCCAGCGCAAGUUCCGGGUGGGCGUGGGCUUGGCAGGCCCCGCACUCUGAGCAGUCAGCCGUCGCCGCCGGCCCCGGGCAGUGAGGGGCUUAGCACCCAGGCCAGCAGCUGCGGAAGGUGCGGUGGGUCCCCCGGCACUGCCGGCCCGCCCACGCUGCUCUCGAAUUCUCUCCAGGCUUCAGCCGCCUCCCCGCGGGGCAGGGCUUGAACUGUC
This 2210-nucleotide long non-coding RNA is filed under the name Homo sapiens (human). RNAcentral's name for it is "PREDICTED lncRNA (TCONS_00164358)". Lineage: Eukaryota; Metazoa; Chordata; Mammalia; Primates; Hominidae. The record is from RNAcentral.